Molecule: transfer RNA, 73 nt
Filed under: Lucilia cuprina (Australian sheep blowfly)
Lineage: Eukaryota; Metazoa; Arthropoda; Insecta; Diptera; Calliphoridae
Rfam family: tRNA
About the family: Transfer RNA (tRNA) molecules are approximately 80 nucleotides in length. Their secondary structure includes four short double-helical elements and three loops (D, anti-codon, and T loops).
Source: Rfam by way of RNAcentral
CCUCCGGUAGCUUAGUGGUUAGUGUUCUAGUCUGGUAGACCGGAGGUGGUGGGUUCGAUUCCCACCUGAGGCA